AGAUGAGACUGCCUGGAAAUAUCUAAUUCUAGGUAUGUAGGCUAUUGUGGUUACUCUCCCACAGUGAUGAGGAAAAGCAUUCUACACAUCCGUGGUUUGUUUUUGCUUCAGAUGUUCAAGGGCCAAGUGCUGGCAUUAAAAAGAGGUUCCAUUGCUGAGCCUUGGCUCAGAUUAAUCCCUGAAUAGAAUAAAAAUAAGUUUUCUUUGGUUAGGAGAACGAAACAGUUUUGGCAUAUGGUGAUAUUAAUUGCUGUUUCCUGGCUGGAAUUUUUAUUUGUUAACUGAGUCUAAAUACAUAACAAAGAGUACUCCAUUUUAUUCAAUGCAAAAGGAAGCAUUUUGCUUCAAAAACAGAGAACGUCUAAAGGGCUAAAUCAAACAAAUAGGGCCCCCUUGGUCUUCUGGAGUAAAAAUAUAGCAUGUUGCCAAGGGAAUUGAGCCAGUACUUUACUUGCUUAAUCAGAGUUGACUGUCACAGGCAUUGGCUUCAUUUAAGUUAGGUAGGCCUCAGCUUAUUUGGUGAUCUGGGCCAGAGGUUUCUGAAGGAACACUUUCUCCAUCAUGACUCCCCAUUAGAAGUAGGAAAGCCUCCACUGUAGGCACCAGUUGCUGGGACUCACAAGUGGGGAGCAUGCUAUUGUGCUCAGGUUUGUGCUUUCAGGCUUCCCAUAGGCCUCUGGCUAGCCACCUUGAGAACAGGAUGCUGGCCUAGAUGGGCCACAUCCAGCAGGACACUUCUUCCAUUCUUAUUGUCCUCUAUAAGAACCAUUGUCUUCUCUAGGCCUAUUGAAGCAUGUGUAGGAGGCACAGUUGUUGUGCAUGUUGGCUCUGCCCACUCAGUGUCUGUCCUUCCCAUGUUGAGCAGGGAAGGUGUGAAGAGGGGCUUUUGCUUGCAAGCGGUAGCCCUUCAGAUGCUGUUGGAUGACAACUCCCAUCAUCCUAGCCAAUUGCUAAUGCUGGCUGGGGUUGUUGGGAGUUGGAGUCCCACAACUUCUGGAAGGCCACAGUUUCUCCCUGGCUGGGCUACACUGACUGGUAGUGGUUUUCCAGGGUUUCAGGCAGGAGUCUUUCCCAGCCCUACCUGGAGAUGUCAGGGAUUGAUCUUGGGACCUUCUGCAUGCUCUUUUCUGGACUUUUGUGAAAAAUUUCAAAUCACAGCAUGAAAAUUAAUUGUUAUGGCAAUGUUUGAUUCAAUACUUAGCCUGGCCAAAUUCACAAGACGUUUCUGAGACAUUGUAGACCUUAAAUAAUUAUUAAUCAGCUGAAGUUUGCUGAGUGACCUCUCCCCAGAAGCUACUGUUGCUGGAAUUGUUAAUAGUACUCUUAAGCUAGCACACACAUUUGGAAACAGGUCACCAAGUCUGUACUUUCUUAACAAGUUCAACAGACCUAAUGGCUUUAACUGUACAUUUACAAAAUCUGCUUCGUGUACUGAGGCUAAAUGUUGCAUUUCUUUUCCGAAAUCAUCACCAAUUAAAAUCAGCAGGAAAUUGCUAUGAUAAAGAUAAAGAUUUUCUCUCCACUUCACUUUCAGACAUGGUGAGAUAUUUCCACAAGAAAGCAUUUUUUGUGCAAAUUGCUUAACAGCAUUGAAGUGGACAGUUAACCCUGCUAUAACAUUGUCUACCAAAACCUAAAACACACUUUCUGAAGUAGGGCUCUUCUGGAGUAUCAUCUGUGUCAUUCAUUUCUUCCAAGUUAGCAUCAGGUGUGCUGUUGUCAUGUGACCUUGUCCUCUUGCACCUAACUUAAUUACAUACAUGGGACAGAGUUUUAUUUCUAUAUUUAGGUUUGAUGCAACCAAUCUGGCUUCAUUCCACAGGCAUUUCCACUUCUUUUGGAGUUUUGUCAACUCUGUUACAUCAACAUCCAGUGUGGCAUCUCUAGCUUGAAUGACCUUGUUUCAAAUAUCUAUGCCAGCUAAUGUUUUGUACCACAUGGCUGACACUAACACACAGGCAAAAAAAGUCACAUAUAAUAAAACUCCAUGGACUUCAUUUCUUAUUUUGGCCAUCAAAUUUAGUUCUAGGAGGUUUUCCAUUGCUAAUUUAAUACCAGGCAAGUGAUCUGCAAAAUUCAACAUUCUGAGCAUCUUGUUUUAGACAUACUAUGAAGAGAACAACCAAUAUAGUUUUUGUAGUAUUUCCUACCACUUAGGACUGGAACUGAACAGGUGGGACACAGUUUUAAUUGUUCCCAGAAAAGGGUUAUUGCUUCAGGUAUGCAUUCAGCAGCGGCAUUUCCACAUAAGUUGAGUGUGUGACAACCACAAGGUGAAAAAAAUUGCUUUUGAGUAUUUUUCUUGUAUUUUUGCUUGUUCCAGUGGCGUAGGAAAGGGGGGGGCAGAGGGAGCGCACUGCCCCCGGCACCAUCUCUGGCAGGGUGACAAGAGGACACCCCAUGGGGGUACCAUCACGCUGCUGCAGCCGCGUGCAAAGGAUCCUCUGCUCACAGCUACACCUCCGCUGCCGCCACCUCACCCCCACAGCAAGGAUGGAGGGGCGGCAGGAGGAGCAGUAGCAGCAGCUGGCAUGGCAGCAGUGGCAGCAGCAGCAGCAGCAAAGACCACCGCCUACCCGAGGCACACCAUCCCCGGUUGCGUCUGCUCUUGCUCUAACCGCCGCUGCCACAGAGUCACCUCCGCUGUCUCUGGCAGAGUGGGGUGGGUGGGGGAGGCGUGUGUGGGCGGAGAGAGGGAAAGAAAGAGUGACCUGCCCGGCUCUCCCUCCCUCGCACACCCGACGCCUGACUCUGGAGAGCCAGUGUGGUGUAGUGGUUAAGAGCAGUAGACUCGUAAUAUGGUGAACCGGGUUCGCUUCCCCGCUCCUCCACAUGCAGCUGCUGGGUGACCUUGGGCUAGUCACACUUCUCUGAAGUCUCUCAGCCCCACUCACCUCACAGAGUGUUUGUUGUGGGGGAGGAAGGGAAAGGAGAAUGUUAGCUGCUUUGAGACUCCUUCAGGUAGUGAUAAAGCGGGAUAUCAAAUCCAAACUCUUCUUCUUCUGAUGGAGCGGGGCAAAAGGCUGGGUGCAUGAGGCAGAGGGAGUGAGCACAGAAUGCGCCAUACGUAGCAGCACUGUGCAUGCACUGUACGGUCGGUUUGCCCUGCCCCCCUGCCCCGGGUACCGUACAUGCUUUGUUCACCCCUGGCUUGUGCGCCAUUGUAUUUUCAUGCCACAUUUGUCCCAUUAUCGUAGGCUUAUGCUGUACAUUCACUGAGAGGAAUAGCAUGUUUUUCCAAUGUAUUAGUUAUCAUCUGAGCCAUUUCUUUCCCUCUUUUGUUGCUACAAUCUGCAAACUUCAGAAAUCUCUCUUGAAUCUCAUACUGCAUUUCUUUUAAAAGUACAUCUCCAAAGAAACGUUGUUUGUUCAACAAGGGAAGAAACUGGUGUAGAGUCUACUAUUUCUGCAAAGCAUUUGCAGAUUGCCUCUCAAGCAAAAAGUGUCACUUCACAAGAUUCAAGCAUUCUGUAAUAAAUUCAUUUUGUGAGGCAGGGGACAAAUAACGAACUUGAGGCUGCUCACGCCUUUUCUGUGACUCCUCUGCACUUAGCACAUGUUCCUGAAGGAUGGGGAUCCUACCUGGAGAGCAGUUCAAUGAGUCCUAAAAAGUUUCCAUUGUUGGAAUCUCCAAUUCGAUGGGAUCAAUCAGUAAUUGCUAAACCAUUUUCUUCCAAGAAGAGUGCAACAUUGGUGAUGCACUUUAACAAGUUGUACCGUUUCACAGCUUCAGUUUUGAUGGAUGCUUGUAAGAUGAUGUGAACUCUUGUCCCAGACUGCAGGAACAUUUCUAGUUCGCCAAGCUAAGUAACAUUCUCUGUGACUAUGACCUUUUUCAUGUUAUUAACUAUCUCCUGAUUCUUAGGACAGUUGUCUGGAAAAGAUCAUUUUUCCAGAUGUAGUGAGUUCUUCAUGAUGGUAAUGGUAGCAAUGAGCUGCUUUGCCUUCCUCUGCUUUGCCUUCCUCUUGCCACACUUUUGAGUGAUAGCUGAUCCACAGCCAUUUGAUGUACUUUUGGGGAUGAUUAAUUUGUUCAUUAGCCUGGAAGAACUGUUCUGUCUGCUGCUGUGCUCGGAGCACCCUAUUGUGACGUUUGGGGCAUCCAUCACCUCACGUUUGUAGUGUUGUGCCCAUAGAACCACCGUGCUCCAACUUACUUCCAACUAUAUUUUGGAGAGGAUAUUGACUGUGGAAAGGCAUUCUGCCUCUAUUUCAGUGAUCCUUGACAGUGAUUUACCAAUCCUACCAUUCCUGGUUAUGGAACGUUUAUCUGAUUCUUAUUAGUUUGUGACUCCAUGCACAUAUUACAUGUCUUCUGUUUAUGAUUUUUGAUACAGUAUAGUGUUAUAAAAAUAUUGUCAGUAUAUUAUUCGCCAACGUGUUGCUUGCUGUUCAGAUUCCUCUGCUUGAAGGCGGGCCACUGUCAGCACCGACACCCUUCACCGGCAGACAGCAGUCCCUUCAGAAGGUGAAGUACAUCACCUGCAGGAGAGGCAAAGCGAGCUUGCUUUCUCGCCUUGCCCACUUACAUUAAAUUUUGCUGCCUCUCUGGAUUGCAUGGGAGAAGUAGGUGGGGGCACAUUGGCAGAAGAGGAAGUGGGCAGAGGAAGAAGUGUCAUGGCAUUUUGUGUAUUCACGCAACAUAUGCAUAUGUUUUCUAAGGUCCCAGGAAAUUUCUGACCCCUGUGCCCCCCUUUUGACCCCAGGCAGGGGUACAAUGUACCCAUUGCCUCCCCCUCUCAUGGGUCCUGUGCUCUGCCACCGAGCUAUGGCUUUUCCCGCUUGUCUUGCAGUAGCUUAUCCAAAUUGACCCAAUUUCCCUUGAAACUUCUCCCGUUGAAGCAAGACCCUAAAAAUGUGUUUUUAUGUGAAAUUUGGUUCCAAAUUUAUUUGGGACAGGAGAGACAUCAGCUUGAACCCUGAUAAAGAAAGCCUAUUUAAUCUGCAGUGUUUGCAUGAAAUGGAUGGAAGAAAAGCUCAUGGCAUCUUCCUAUGCUAUGAAGAUGCUUUGAAGGUGUUAGAUAUAUUUAAUUUGCAUCAUUCACAGGGGGGAAAUGUAAACUAGACCAACUCUGUUCUGAGCUGUAAGAAAUAAAUGCUUCGAAAUGGGGAAUAAGGAGGUUAGGGUAAAGUGACCCGCAGAUAACGACAGGCUAAAGUUUUGCUGUCAUGCAGCACAAAAUGUUUUAGAAUGGAAAAUAAUUAAUGUUGAGUAAAGAAUGGAGCUGAGAUUAUUAUAAUGAGAUACAGUGUGCUCUUCCGACCAUCUAGGGGUCAAUGUUACUUGGUUCCAAAUGGUUACGAGUAAGUAAGAAUUGUCCUGCUAUAAAGUAGAAAUAAUGCAAUGGUAUGCAGUCAGUUUUACAGUGACCUUAAGGUUAAUGGUAGUUGCUCUUAGUAUGUUUAUAAAGGUUUAAAAGAGACAUAUGAACUGAAGAUUUUAAAGUCUAGAGCUACAGUACUAAGCAGACUAUAAUAUUGAGAUUUCGGAAUAAAGUGGCUUCAAGUAUGCUAUGCUUGGCUGUUGCUCAGUAGCUGAAUACUUUCAUGGUGACUUUCCUUUCAGAAUAGUACCACCUCUUGAGUAAUAUAUCACUUGUAUGUCUCAAUCUGAUAAUAGAUUGCACCAGUAUAUUAUUGCAACAACAGAUGUAUUGCCAGUGUAGUCCUCUGCAUUACUGGAACAGAGCACUUGGAAGAUGAUGUAUUUCUCAAAAUAUGGCACCAACCAGAAGAAGGCAGGACCAGGAGCAGAUUUAGUUCAAUAUCCUAAAAAGAAUUCUGAUGCCACAUAAGCUCCCUGGUACAAAGAUAUAAUGGCUUGGCACAGCUCUAAAUUGAAUUCCCGUUUGGUUUUGGUCUCUGGAGUUCACACAAUCGGGUCAUGGCUUAAAUUUAUUUAUUUUUAAUUUAGAAGGAACAACAGCUGAGAGCUGUAGCCUAAUAUAACUUCAUGACUGAAGUAUUUCCAUAGCUAAUUGCUCACAUGUGUAUGAGUAGCUGUAUGUGUAGGACUAUGUUCAAUUAUGAAUGAGCAUAAUCCAUAAGCUAAAACUCCAGACACUUACGAUCCAGUUAUUCUUUGGUCCUGGAAAUUAAGAUGUUUCCAAACGUUGCCUCAGGCUUCCAUCUCCCUUUCAGCUUUUUGCACGCUGCACAAACCUAUUGGAAAAUGUGUUGGUACAUCCAUACGGGGAGCUGGCUUCAGGCACUAGGCCCACUGGCAAACCAACUCUGCAUUACAAGGGUGUCUGCAAACAAGACAUGAAGGCUGGCAACAUCAAACCAGCCAUGUGGGAAUCCCUUGCAGAUGACGGCACUGCCUGGAGACAAUCAGUUAGCUUGCGUAUUCACAGCAGUGACCAGAGGGAGAAUGACCACUGGGAGGUGUGUAGAGAAAAUAAAUGCCAUAGUGCAUCGUAGAAAAACUGGCCUCCUUCAUCUGCCCCACCUACAGAGAAACAUUUCUCCCAUAUUGGUCUCUGCAGCCACAGCAGGUGCUGUAAUUCUCCAAUGGUUUGAUUUUACCCCCAAUGGUGCACUCUUCCAUUGUCUCCCAAGAGAGACAGAUGCCAUCAACAGCAUCCAUACAUAUGCUUAAUUGGGGGUAUUUAAUAAUUUUUUCUUUAAAGACCAAGAUCAUACAAUUCUGGGUGGGGGAAAUGUCCGUUUGGCCACCACACAAAGAGUAUUUCAGGACAAGGAGUAUCUAUGUGGUGGGAACUAAACACUAUGUGGCAAACAAAAUAAAAAAAUAAAAAAUAGGGCAGUCAUAUGAGACUAUCUUGGAGGCUUCAAGCAUUGUCCCCCCACCCAGUUCAACCUGGAAUUUAUAUGUUCUAAAUGAGGUAGUUGGUUUUUAUGUCUGGAGAGGGGGAUAAACUUGAAACAGUCCUGUUGGUCACUGAUUAAAGCUGACUCAGCCUAGCCCAGAAAAGUCUCUUGGUUGCCGCCUCUCUAUUAACAGCUUUACAUGGGUCUAUAUGCCUGAGAACAUGUAUUCCUUUCAGUCUUUGGUUUACCUUCUGCUAAAGUUUCUCACUGAAAUAGGUUUUCUCUUGACCAAAGUUUCUGGUAGAGGGAAAAGCACCUGCAAUGGUGUACUUGAAGUAUUUUAAAAUGCAUUAUACUAGAAGCAAGUGUCCAGUGCCCUCUGUCACAGUGGCUUGAUUAACUUAGAGGUCACCAACAACUCUACAACUUCUAAAACUUAAUCAGAGCAGGACCUCAGAAGGGUAUGUGUAUGUUGUCUCCACUGCCCCGUGAUGUAUAGAUUCAAUAUCAAAUAUCUGAGAGCUAUCUCUGAAGUUGAGAUAUUGGAGCUUAAUCCCAAGAUUCUGAUUCAGUACCUGCUUUGUUAGAUUGUUGUCCUAGAGCAGGGGGCUGCAGGCCUAGGUGGGGGGUGGACACUGAGUUUUUCCAAGGGGUCCAUCAAACUUCACAACUAAUGCCCAGACACUCAGCUUUCAUUUCAAAAACAAUAAUGCAAGUUUCUACCUGCUAUGAAAGGGAAGCAAAACUUGAUUCCUGUGAGAUGAGCCAGCCUGGCUGUCUGCUCCCACCUUUUUAACCAGUGAAUGAAGUGAGGGCUGCAAUUGAUGAGUGAGUUGUUUGGACACCAGCCAAUAGAUAUGAAUCCUAAAGUGUUGCCAUUUCUCCCUCCAAUUUAAUGGACUUUUAUUUCCUGCAUGUGUUUAGUCCUUGGAAUAUCCAAAGUGUACCUUACUCCAUUCUAGCAACCAGAACCAGUACUUCCUAAUCCGGUACCAGUUAUUUUCUGUAGUUACUUCUACAUAGUAAAUGUUAAAGGAUUCCUUUUCCACACACGGGAAAUGCAAACUGUGAAACUUUGCAGAGAGACUCUUCAAAUCACGUCCAAAUUUCCGUGCACCUUGCUUAGUGUGAUGUUCUUUUUCUAUUUCUGUGCAUCACAGUGCUAUACUUCAUGACACAGCCUUUUCUGAUUGGCCAAUAUACAAAGUAAUAGGGUGGACAGAAUACAAAAACACACUAUUUAGGAGAAAGGUCUUGCAAAAGUGUGUAGCCAAAACUACAUGCAAAAGUUCGGAGAAAUUCUCAGUAACAUACUGAUGAAGUUUCAUGAGGAUUUUUUUUAAAGCAACAACAACCACAACUCCCAAAUUGCUGCAGAAAUGUGGAGAACUGAAUUUAAGAUUGGAGAAAAUGAGGAACUGAGAGAGCCGAUCCCUAGUAGUCACAUAGCUGCUCACCUGGGAUGUAGGUGCUUUAGACUGAGGGUCUCUUAUUGUAAGAGAAUUCAACCCCCAGCGUGUCAGUCCCUUUACUAGGAAUACAUAUGUAUACCAGAGAUUCUACAUGUUAUUUUGGUGUUAACUAGCGUUCAAAACGGGAACGCGGGGGGCACUGUGGGUUAAACCACAGAGCCUAGGACUUGCCGAUCAGAAGGUCGGCGGUUCGAAUCCCCGCAACAGGGUGAGCUCCCAUUGCUCGGUCCCUGCUCCUGCCAACCUAGCAGUUCUAAAGCACCUCAAAGUCCAAGUAGAUAAAUAGGUACUGCUCUGGCGGGAAGGUAAACAGCGUUUCCGUGCACUGCUCUGGUUCGCCAGAAGCGGCUUAGUCAUGCUGGCCACAUGACCCAGAAGCUGUACGCCAGCUCCCUUGGCCAAUAAAGCGAGUUGAGCGCCGCAACCCCAGAGUCGUCUAUGACUGGACCUAAUGGUCAGGGGUCCCUUUACCUUUACUAGGGUUCAAAACAGAUAAGCUACAGGAUAUAUGUUAUCAGAUCUCCUACUGUUGGGUUUAAUUAUUAUUUUUUAACUUGAAAGUUUUUCUGGGGAAGCAGCGGUUCUGGAACAUGGAAAAUGUAACCCUUUCCCUCUGUGCCAUUUUCCCAGUCUCAAUCACCCCCAAACUGCUAUUAGCCUCUCUGUGAGGGAAAUACAGGUACCUUUUGUAUUUGCACAUUUCUUUCUCAAGUGGGGCUAAUAGCAGCUUUGAGUGGGUGGGUUUGCUCUAAACUGGAAUAAUGGUAAGUGGGGGGAAAUAUUAAACACUCCCUCCCCGGUACUGCCGCUCCAAUCCAAAUCAACCCUCCCACACGGUUGCUUUGACAAUACAAUAAGUAAGUAAAAAUAAGGCUGCCAUGGGAUUAAAAGGCGGUGCCCUAUUAUCUGACUAAUUGUGAUGCACCACAUACUAAGUUGAAACAACUUAUUUGUCACACUUGGGAAAGAUCAAGACCUUUUCAGCAAGAUGUUUGCAUCCCACAGGCCUGGAGGGUUGCCCUCUGCACUCCGUACAUAAUGCGUCCUGCUAUAGGCAUCAGCAGACAGGCCAAAUGAGACAUGUAGCCUUGGACCACCUUCUAUUGCUUUUUCAUGGUGUGUAGUAAGUAAAGGUUAAUUGUUAUACUUUUUGUAAAAACAACAACAAUGAAACCCUUUUUACUGGACAGUAAGCCAUCAGAUAGAGUUCCGAACACUGGAGUGUUUAUACGGUGGUUGGUCCCCCCGCCCGUUAUUGCCCUCCUUGUACUGUCCUUUUGACAACAGCCCCUAAAGUAUUCAAAAAUUACUUUGCAGGCUCAUGAUGUAGUGUCGCCAAAGGCUAAUUGACUCGUCCUUCUGUAAUGAUCCGUGGCUGUGUAUACAGAUGCCAUUGUUCCCAGUCAGCUGUAUACAUGGACCUUCAGCUGAAUGCUGGGGUUUCAUUUCAUAACUAUUGGCUCUCUCUUUGUCCACCUAGAUCACCAAAGGAGACUAAGGCCACAUUCGGACCAUACAUUUAAAGCCCUUUAAACAGCUGUGGCUUCCCUCAAAGAAUUCUGCAAGCUGUAGUUUGAUAAAGGUGCUGAGAGCAGUAGGAAGACCCCUAUUCCCCUCCCCAAGCUACAAUUCCCAGCGUUUGAUUUGAUUUAAUAUUUGUAUUUUGUUUUUCCAACAGCAAAUGUUGUGCUGGAUGACAUCCUCUCUCUGGGAAGGGACGACUUCUGUGCUCAGUGCAGCAGGCAACACACUCUCAGGCAAAAUGAUAGUUCGUAGUUCCCAGUGAAGAGGAAUUGACUGUUAAACCACUCUGGGACUUGUAGUUCUGUGAGGGGAAUAGGGGCCUCCUAACCACUCUCAGCACUGUUAACAAACUUCAGCUCCCAAAAUUAUAUGGGUGAAGCCAUGACUAUUUAAUGUGGUAUCAUAGUGGUUUGAAUGCAUGGUCUAAAACAACGUAAUUGCUUGUAAUAUUUCUUAAAAUUCUUAAAAUUCCAAUAUGUGGACAUUAGAUAUUUUUAAUUAAGAAGCAAAUAUACUUUUCUGUGCCCAAUGCAUGCAGCUGUGUUGAUAGCUGUGUCUGUAGCUCAUAGGAAGGUGUCCCACGGCUUGUAGAAAUCACACUCAUUUCUCCCUGUAUCGCCGCCUAGCAGGCAGAGAGCCCUUAUAGCUUUGUUGAUAACACCCUAUCCUAACUUUUAUAAGGCUUGCUCACACACUGCACUGAACACAGGUACAAGCUGCUUCUACCCAUGUACAAGCAUUUGUGUGAGUGGAUUUGUAGUGCUCAACUAUUGUGGACACAGAUUGUACAUAUUGAAUGGGACGUGCAAAGGUGUGAACACCCUUGUAGAAAAUAAUCUAGGGGCUGUGGUGCCCUCUUCUAUCCUCUGUUAUGUGGCUGAUCUAAUUCCAGAAUGUCAACAGAUGCAGAAACAUGCAGCGUUAAAAGCAUUCUUCCCACUACUGGAAAAAAUCCAAAGGUCCCUAGAUGGGCUUCUCUGAGAAGACAACCUUCUUUCACCUCUGAAGUCCAAAAGUCAUUUCAGGCCUGCCUGAAUAAGAUUCUUUCCCAGCCCCAUUAAUCAAUGACUAGCAGGUGUCCACAGCAAUCAUGAUUACAUGUGCCAGGCUGCAGAAAGAUAACUCAGAAACAAUUUAAGGUCAAGGGUGGGGCAGACAUCUGAAAAAUAACAGACACCAGACCCGGCAAAAGUACUUUACACCUGUUUUUUUGAUUGGCUGAGUUCUCUGAAAAGGGGGGUAACUCACACCUCCUCAGUAUCAACUUGCAAUUCUCCUUUGUCGAUCAUAAUACCAAGCAUGCAUAGAGCACAUUUCUAAUUCUUAAUGCAUUUUACACACAUUAUGUUUGGUUCUCACUAGGGUUGUAACAAUGUGAGGAUUAAUUGGUCAGAUUAUCCCAUUUUAAAACUUCUAAUUGAUCAAAAACUCUAAUUAAUCAAGCAGCAGAUUAUCUGUAUUUGUAACACGUUAGAAAGUUAAGGAUGAAAGUUAAGGAUUUUACCGAACUCUGCAGCUUAAUUCCCCCCUCCUCUCCUCUGCAGCCCCCCACCUCAAUAUCUGCUCCAGAGGUACACAAGGAGAGGAAGGAAAAGCCCAGCUUUGUGAAUGGAACUUUACGCAUGUAGCAUUGGACACAACCCCUGAUCUCAGAAGAAGUGUUCAUCUUAUCGCACACAAGAAAUUAUGCUGCUUCUAAGAUGGUGUGUGCUGUGACUCAUAAGGCAGACAACUGAGGACAUGCAUUUCCUCUUCACAAUGAUUGUUUUAUUAAUAUACAAAUUUCAAUCAUUAACUUAUUCAUUAAAGCUCAUAUAAUUAAUUGAGUAAUACUUCCUGAAUGGGUAGACUACACUGAUUCCUGGUCAUUGUUUGUAAGCUUGCCCAAACUAAAGUCACACGGUGAGAUGCGAACUGAGGUCUCCAGACUCAUACUCUCAGCACAAUUUUAAAGCACAGUUUUAAUCCUGCUUUUCCUAAUACUGAUCAGGGUGUACCCUGGAGUCUUUCAGAGACUCCUUACCUCUUUCCUCAACAUCCCAGAGAUAUCACUGGGAAAGCUGAUUUAAAAGCCAUGUCUAGAUGCCCCAGCUUCACCACUGGAAUUGGUCUUACACCAGGAUGGGGGGGGGGCUGGAAAAGUCUUAAUGUUUACUGCUUCAGCUCCAGGGCUGGCUCAGAAAACAAGCCUCAGCAUAACUUGCCCGUAGCUGGACUGGCUUAGGAUCCAGCGGAUCCUAGGCUGGCUUGGCCUUGCUUGCUCCCUCCCUCCCCCUCAAAACCCCAUUUCAUAGGUUUAUGCUGACUACCCACAGUAAGGAUACAUCUAGUGAUAGCUUCCAUUCUGAAGGGUUGGGUGGAGAUCUUAGUGAUAGUGAAGGUUCUCCACUGGCAGAGCUGGGUGAAGAGACACUUCUGCCUCAUCCAACCCUCCUCCAGCAUGACAAUUUGAGUUAUAGAUUGGUCUGCCCAAAGCCUUAUUGUCUGCAUCAUGUUCCCCUGCGCACCCACCCCAAAAUGGUAGACCAGGGAUAGAAAACCUACAGAUGUUGGUAGAUUUCAACUCCUAUCCACACUAGCCAGCAUAGUCAAUGAGAAUUGUGCAAGACCUAGAGAGCCACAGGUUCCCCACCCUUGUUGUAGACUUUCCUCAACUGGAAGCUGAGCUGGUCCUCUGAUGAUUUGGGUUGCUCUUUUCUACACCUUGUCUAGCUCUUUCAUAUGGUUGCCACUCAGCUGUGGGAUAGAGACAGUCGUACCUUGGUUUUUGAGCAGAAUGCAUUCCAGAAGUCAAUUCGACUUCCAAAACAAGGUGCAGGUUCCGAUUGGCUUCAGAUUGUGCAGGCUCACCGGAAACAAUAGUGAAAGCUGCAUCAGACAUUCAGCUUCCAAAAAAACAUUCAAAAACCAGAACACUCACUUCCGGGUUUUGAUCAUUCAGGAGCCGAAACGUACAAGUACCAAGGUGUUCUACAACCAAGGUACGACUGUAUUCAGAACUGAGCACUUUCUGAAGGGCUGCCCAAAAGGUUAUUUGAAACCACUUUUAGUAGCUAAGGAUUUGGGAGGGAUGGAGGAAUGAAAGCAGUUUUAAUCAUCCUAAUAGGGUUUAUGACUUUUGACAUUGUUGCAUGCACCAUGCAUUUAGGAGGAGGAAAACUACUAAAAAAUAAUAAAUAAAUAAAGGGAGCCACACAGUACAAGGUGGUCUGUAUUUCCAGAACACAGGAGAUAUUGCUAGGCAUGUUGAAAGCCAUUUCUGAGUAGUGUGCAAACACCAAAAGGAUUGUUUAAGCCUUAUUUGAAAAACAUUGAUAGUACAAAUAUUUAUUCUGAGUUUGAUAUGAUUAUGGAAUUAUUUACACUGGAAAGUGGGUGAAUAGGGGGGACAGAAUAAAAAUACUGAUUUAAGAAAUAGUGCCUCUUCUGUUGUCUUUGACAGGGAAAGAAUAGGCUAUGCUGUUCUGCAGCAUUAAAUCAAGCAAAAGAGUGAAAAAGGCAACAAAUUGUAAGCUAUUCCAAUUGUUUGUUUCAUUAAAAAUAUUACAGUUAACAAAUUGCAGCUCAGAAAACAAGCUGUAUGAAUCUGGAUCAUCUCCAUAUUUGUCAUUCCAAAAAUGUAAUAAAUUAAAUGAGCUUCAAAGAAUCUCUCUCAUUGUGUUCCCCUCUUAACCAGGUUACUUCCCGUGAGCUUACAGAAGACCAUCACUGCAACAAGAACAGCAGUAGCUUUGAAUAACGCCAGUUCCCACCUAUUAUCAGCAGCUGGGAAGCUUUUCUAUGCAAAGGUAUUUUCACCCACCAGCAAACAUUGCAUAGAGUUAUUUCUUGUGGGUCUCUAUGGGGGGGCGGAUUUUCCAGUGUGAAAUGCCAUGAUGAAGGAACUCUUGUCUCCUGCCUUUCUGUGACACCAUCAUGGCACGCAUUUCCAAGUGUUUGGCCAUUUCUCCCUGCCUGGCUUUCAGUGUUCCUUGCAGAGAGUCCCAAGGAUAAAUGAAGCCAAGAUGCCUAUGCCACAAGGUGGUAUUCAGCUCUUAAGAGCUGUAUCCAACUAAGGCUGAAUACGCACUAUACAUUUAAAGCCCAUAAUUUCCCCCAGAGAAUCAUGGAAACUGUAGUUCAACCACUCACAGAGCUACAAUCCCUUCAGCCUUAAGAAAUGACUAUUAACAAUAUUUUGGGGGGUGAAGUCAUGUGCUUUAAAAGUAUGGUGUGUAUCCAGCCUAUGUUAUACCCAGAGUAAACCUAUGGAAAUUAAUAGACCUGACUAACUUAAGCCCAUUAACUUGAAUGGCUUCAUUCCAAGUAUAACUUAGUUGGAUGUAAUCUUUAGCCUGCAUUUCGUCCUGAUACUGGGCAUCUACUGUUAGGAUGGACUCUUAGCAUGUAUCUAAGCCUAAGCAUGUACAAAUGAAACAAGCACCCUCCACCCACUACCCUGCCUUUUCUCUGUUGUUUCCCUUGUGUCAAAUAUUACACGGUAAACUUCUGGGCUCUAUGAGCAAGUGCCUCAGCCCUCAAGCAGAAAAUUAGGAUGUGUAGUGAAUUUAGCAGCCCCACCCCAACAACCCAUAGGGCUUCCUGCUGCUGUCACACCGCGACCACACCACACAACCACCCCCUGCAGCGAAGACUUGUGGGUAAAUUUAUUGCUGCAGUAGCUGCCUCCUGCCCACUCACAAGGAAUACAGCACCUCUAUCAUGACAAAAGCCGUCACUGGCACUCCAACCAAGUUCUCCAGGCCCACCACAACUCACUCUGAGGAAAGGAUCCUUCAUGAGAGUGAGGCAUUUUGACUGAUGUGGGCUGUUAAAUUUUAAGCAGGCUUUGUGAAUGUUGCAGCAAAGCAGCAAUGGCACGGACAAUCUGUGCAGCCACUUCAUCCACAACGUUUCCCUCUGAUGAAGGGACACUUUCUCAGAGCACAGUAUGAGAGCAACAGGCCAGGGAGGAUGGGGAGGAGCCAGUGACAGGAGGGAAGAGGAGGUGGCAGAAGGCAGGAGGAAGGGGUGGUGACCCAUCAGGGCUGUCUUAAGCAUAUGUGGUGCCUGGGUGCAAAGAUCCACCCGGCGCCCCCCCCCCCAGUUGCCCAGUCCCAGGCACGCAGGAGGGCGGAACCAGCCAUCCUCCUCAGCGUCUCGCUGGCUCGGUCGCCCCCAAACUCGCAGAAGAGCCCACCGUGGUGCUCUGACUGACAGGCAGGCUCUUCCCCGGACUCAACUCUCAGGCCUCGGACUCUUGGCCCGGUGCCCCUGAGAGCCCGGCGCCUGGGUGCCCUGCACCCCUAGUGCCUAUGGGUAAGACGGCCCUGUGGCCCAUCUAAGAUGUCCCUAGUAAGUUCCUCAGAACAGGGACAGAUCCUUUUAAAUCCCGCAACUGCUGUGCACACUGAUGGUGCUAAAUAAACUUAUCUGCUGGACUGGUCCCUUUUCUUUCCUGUCUCUUUCUGUAUUUUGCAGUGAAAAUAGGUAAUACAGUGGUGCCCCGCAAGACGAAUGCCUCGCAAGACGAAAAACUCACUAGACGAAAGAGUUUUCCGUUUUUUGAGUCGUUCCGCAAGACGAAUUUCCCUAUGGGCUUGCUUCGCAAGACGAAACGUCUUGCGAGUUCUUGCGAGUUUGUUUCCUUUUUCUUAAAGCCGCUAAGCAGUUAAUAGCCGCUAAGCCGUUAAUAGCCGCUAAGCCACUAAGAGCCGCUAAGAGCCGCUAAGCCGCUAAUAGCCGCUAAGCCGCUAAUAGCCGUGCUUCGCAAGAUGAAAAAACCGCAAGACGAAGAGACUCGCGGAACGGAUUAAUUUCGUCUUGCGAGGCACCACUGUAUGGCCGAAAACUACAUGGGAAGAGAGAGGAAAAACUGUGCAGGGGAAAAGGAAAAGAAAAGAAAAGAAUUUAAAUACAACUUGACAAUUGCAAUUAAAUAACCCAAAUCUCAAGUUUGGCAUUUUUCUUAACACCCAAUAUGAUUGAUAUUUGUACUUCAGAGCCUUUAAAAUAUUUAAGCAGAAAAGAAAUGAAAUGAACUGCAACCAGUUAAGGUCAUCGACUUAGGACAAAAAAUGAUAAAAUAUUAAAACGACAGAAACAAAUUUUCCAACAGUUAAUAUACCAAGACUUCAUAGAGAUGUAUUAUUCAAAGCAGAGAAACAUGUGUGACCCCUCGUCUAUUGCAUAAUACAGAAAGGAUAUGAAAGUUCAAAUCUACACAAGUGUAGGUAUCAAGCAGGAGAAGAAAAGGACACAAUAUGCAUACCAAAGGCUGAUUAAAUAAUUACCAUUAGCGGUUAUUGCAGAUGUGAAAAUGACUUGUCCAAUUUGGGGGGGGGGGUAGGGGUGGAAUUGCAGUCAUGAAUAACUGAUAUACAGUUCAAACCUAGUGUCAAAAUAGGUGGCCUAAAAUGAACUCUGACCCUCAAGGUGAAAUCUAUGUCUUAGUGAUUUGCAUAGUACAGUUUAAAGUGAUAACCAUUACUUUGAAAGUAAUGACCAAAUGGGCAUUCCUUUCACUUCAGAAUCAUUGUACGGUAAUUUCACCAGUGAAAUCUAACACUAAUGAAGUGUCAUUGUAUUGUUUUGAUUUCCCCCCCUUAAGUUUUAAGAAAGGGAAUGUCAGUAAACAAAUCAAUGAACCAAUGUGAGUUGUCUCAGGCUUAAAGCUAAUUUAUUUCACCUUCUUAAUGCUAAAAUAGCAGUAGUGAUUGGCAUGUCUAUUCAGAAGUAAGUUCCAAUGGGACUUACUGCCAGGUAAGUGUGUAGGAUUGCAGUCUCAAAGAAGAAAUGGUUUUCAGCUGCAUAACUCAUUGCCUCAGCUUCUGACACACUGCCAGGAAAUGAAUAUUUGCUUCCAUCAUGGGCUGAGCAAAUUCAACUGAGCAAAUCUGCCUCACUGAUUUACCUGAGAGGUCCUCAACGGGGCCUGUUGCCUAGCCGGAUGUUCAACUUGGUGGUGACCUCUACAUGUUUUGGGCUAGAAGUCUUUGCUGCGGCUGUGCUGGCUAUGGCUGAUGGGAGUUGUACUCCAAAAUAUCUGGAAGACACAGGCUGGUGAAGACUGACGUAGCCAAAGAGUGACACCAGGGAAGACUAAUGAGGAG
Molecule: non-coding RNA, 16861 nt
Organism: Podarcis lilfordi (Lilford's wall lizard)
Lineage: Eukaryota; Metazoa; Chordata; Lepidosauria; Squamata; Lacertidae
Source: the annotation of a GenBank genome assembly